RNAcentral lists this ribosomal RNA (261 nucleotides) under uncultured archaeon. Its description in RNAcentral is "partial 16S ribosomal RNA". It matches the Rfam family "Archaeal small subunit ribosomal RNA", at positions 748 to 1009 of the family's 1478-position model. The record is from RNAcentral.
CAGCCGUAAACUAUGCGCGUUAGGUGUAUCGGUGACCACGAGUUACCGAGGUGCCGAAGGGAAACCGUGAAACGUGCCGCCUGGGAAGUACGGUCGCAAGGCUGAAACUUAAAGGAAUUGGCGGGGGAGCACCACAACGGGUGGGGCCUGCGGUUUAAUUGGACUCAACGCCGGGAAGCUCACCGGAUAAGACAGCGGAAUGAUUGCCGGGCUGAAGACUCUGCAUGACUAGCUGAGAGGAGGUGCAUGGCGUAGACGUCU